GUGCCCGCUUCAGCAGCACACGUACUAAAGUCGGAAUGAUCCAGAGCAGGUUAGCACGGCCUCUGCGCAAGGAUGCCAUGCAGAUGCCAUGUGGUUCCUCCGGGCCUU
Small nuclear RNA from Hyaena hyaena (striped hyena), 108 nucleotides. The record is from RefSeq and is a predicted model, not a curated record. NCBI's taxonomy places the organism in Eukaryota, Metazoa, Chordata, Mammalia, Carnivora, Hyaenidae.